AUAAACAUAUAAAUUAUUGAAAUUAAAAUGAGUUUAUCCUGUAUCAAAAAGACAAAAGAAAAAAGAAAAAUUUAUCCAAACAGCCUCUUUAUCUUCUUUCUUCGGCAAGUGCAAAGUGGUGCUAAGAAUUUGUUCAUCGUUGAAUCGAGUGCGAUCAUGACUAGCCACGCUAUUGCGGAGCCGAACAAGCUGAAACUUUUCUCUUAUUGGCGGAGCUCUUGCUCCUGCCGAGUACGAAUUGCUCUCAACCUCAAGGGGCUGGACUACGAGUACAUAGCGAUUAACUUGCUCAAAGGAGAACAUAAGUCUCCUGACUUUUUGAAGCUUAAUCCGCUUGGAUUGGUGCCUGUGCUUAUCGAUGGAGAUACUGUUGUUUCAGACUCCCUUGCAAUUUUAUUGUAUCUAGAGGAGAGGUAUCCUCAACGUCCGUUGUUACCUCAGGAUCUGGAGCUGAAGGCCCUGAACUACCAGGCGGCAAAUAUUGUUUUUGCAAGCAUACAACCUUAUCAGAAUAUACCCAUCAUUGGGUAUAUUAAAGAAAAACUUGGAGCUGAUGAGAUGCUUUCUUGGGUUCAGCAUCAUAUUAAAAAUGGGUUCGCUGCUCUGGAGAAGCUUUUGGAGAAACAUGCUGGGAAAUAUGCUACAGGAGGUGAAGCUUUCUUGGCUGAUUUGUAUUUGGCACCACAGAUUGAUGGUGCAGUUAGAAGGUUCAGUGUUGAUAUGAACGAGUUCCCUCUUUUGUCAAAGUUAAAUGAGGCAUACAAAGAACUCCCUGCUUUUCAAGAUGCAAUGCCUGGGAAGCAGCCUGAUACGCCACCUGAGGCGAGGGACUGAUGGUGCAAUUCUUUAACAAGAACCUUUUGUCUACCUUGCUGUUUCCUAUGUUUACUUUUGAUCGCAAUCAGAUCCAAAUUCGACAGAUAAUAAAUGUAUGCUUUCAUGCCCAACAAGAGUUGUUGCUGUCUAAUUCAAUGAGAGGAGCUCUGUUUUGAAUUAAUUGCUGUAUCUUGUAUAGCUUGUUAGGCUGUUUGUCUGUGCAAAUAGGAGAAGCCACUUAUUACAUGACUUUUUAAAAAGCAUAUUCACUCAUUAUGUUCCUUUCUUGUAAGGAUUAAGAGCUACAAUUUCAACAACCACCACACAUUAGUAUAACGAUUGAAAAAAGUGUGAAUGGGGGAAUGUAACCACUUAUAUAAUCUAUCUUACAAAACUAUCCAUCCAAAU
This is an RNA transcript of Salvia miltiorrhiza (redroot sage), 1224 nucleotides long. It is a transcript of the gene named glutathione S-transferase 2-like, with no coding region annotated. The record is from RefSeq and is a predicted model, not a curated record. The transcript is spliced from 11 exons. NCBI's taxonomy places the organism in Eukaryota, Viridiplantae, Streptophyta, Magnoliopsida, Lamiales, Lamiaceae.